Molecule: ribosomal RNA, 460 nt
Filed under: uncultured bacterium
Lineage: Bacteria
Description: partial 16S ribosomal RNA
Rfam family: Bacterial small subunit ribosomal RNA
Source: RNAcentral
CCUACGGAGUGCAGCAGUGAGGAAUAUUGGUCAAUGGGCUUACGCCUGAACCAGCCAAGUCGCGUGAGGGAAGACUGCCCUAUGGGUUGUACACCUCUUUUAUCAGGGAGCCAUUGGCGCUACGUGUAGCGUUAUCUAGAGUACCUGAAGAAAAAGCAUCGGCUAACUCCGUGCCAGCAGCCUCGGUAAUACGGAGGAUGCGAGCGUUAUCCGGAUUUAUUGGGUGUAAAGGGUGCGAAGGCGGAAGAUCAAGUCAGCGGUAAAAUUGAGAGGCUCAACCUCUUAGAGCCUUUGAAACUGGUUUUCUUGAGUGAGUGAGAAGUAUGCGGAAUGCGUGGUGUAGCGGUGAAAUGCAUAGAGAUCACGCAGAACUCCGAUUGAGAAGGCAGCAUACCGGCGCUAAACUGACGCUCAUGCACGAAAGUGUGGGUAUCGAACAGGAUUAGAUACCCUGGUAGUC